UACCGCUAUCAUCCACUACACUAUAAUGCUCUACACUAACCAACUGUAGGAAAUGUCAAAUCUGACCAAAUCCAAAUCGGGACUGUAAGCAUACCCGUCCCCGGGACUGUGAAUACACCCGUCCCUGCCCCGCUGCGACUAUCGGCUCUAUCCACACUAACUGGUCCGUGGAGAGCAAGUCCAACUGGCAUGAGCGACACCAACGCAAAAGCACAAGCCUGACUCCGGAGUGGCACUCGUAGGCGCUACCCAACCGAGUAUGCAGCGUAUCUCUGUCGAGCUCAAUCAGGCUCCAACUAGCCAAAGUCAAGAAAUCGACUCAAACUGGUCUAACAACCAACAGGUAACGUGCUCUCGGCACAAUCUGACGCCAAAAAGGCGAUACGGGUCCACCGUCAACUCUGACAGCACCCAACAGUCCGAAACGACCUGAACGACCCUGUAAAAAUUCACUCGGCGAACCAGCACGAGUGUAAAUACAUUCUAAACUACCUGGAGUACUCGUCUCGAAGAAACUGCGACAGUACAAUUUUCUAACGGCUCCUAGAGCUAAAUUAGGUAGUUAAAACUAGUGACAGGUCCAAAUCGCAGGUUUUCUCCUAAUUCAAUUUCCAAGUCCAACAUGUAUAGUCUAUUUACUUGAUAAAAUAUGCUCGAAAAUUCAGAUUUUACAUUCUAAAAAUAAUCCAUGAAUUUGAGCUAACAACUAUUGUAGAAAUCACGAUUUACACAUGUCGACUAAUAACACUUAGGAGUAAAACCGAUGUAACCCACCUAAAAUGCUAAUCCCUGGCAGCGAAGGACUCCCCCCUGGUGUAGAGCAACCUGCUGGAUCACCCGGAACCCGCCGAGUACAGAAAUCGCCUAAGCUCGAGCUCUACGCAACAAAAAUCACCAAUUCAGUCCAGAAAUCACAGCAGUGAGGUACAACAGGGAUUCGACCAAGAUAACCUUCACCAAAUCCAGCAAGUAAGGACUUCGUGGAUUCCUCUCGCAGUCCUGAAUCCAACGAACAAAGCCUCGUCGCGAUCCGACGUUCCUACGCGGAGAACGAGCUGAAAUAUGAACAGUCGACGGCGGAUUUCAGCAAAACAGCUACUAACCGAGUAGAAAUAGUAACACUUGCCCAAAAUCCAGAAAAAACGCCGAAUCACCCACCUCGACAGCGUCGAACCUCGGCGCGACGUCAAGAACAGUGAAGACGCUCCCUCGCCCGGCCUCCUCGCAAAGCUCCGGCAGCAAGCGCGCUCGAACGGCUCGCGGCGCGACGUCGGCGACGAAAUCCCCAACCGGACUCUCCACCACACCUAGAGAGAGAGAGGAGAAGAAGAAGAUGGAGAAGAACAGGAAGUACUCUCUCUCUCUCUGCUCGGACACUUAAGAGGAGAGGGGAGGUGAGGGAGAUACAAACGAGGUGAGAUUUUACUGAUUUAGCCCUCUACCUACUCCCUUGUAUCGGUACACGGGAUCCUGUACCGGUACAAGAGCGAACCCGAGAGCAGUUGAGUUGUUUCGCGCUGGUUGUACCGGUACAGCCACUAAGCUUGUACCGGUACAGCAAGCAGAGAAUGCUGCUGUUUGCAAAAUUCUUCGCGAUAAGCUGCCCUCGCGUCGCACGGAGUCCGUUUUACGUCUAUUUGACGCCAACGCGACUCGGACUUGUCCUGACACUCUCCAGAGCUGUCGACAAGCCUCCACAGUCAAACACCAAGGAUCUCACAGUAAUGGGGCCAAUGACUCCACAGUAGGAAUCUGCGCAGGAGUGGGAGCGAUCCAACUGCUUAAGCUUGAUGCUUAUAAAGUCUAGAGUAUCAAAAAGUAUAAGGGGAUUAAUUACAAAAUGUAAUAAAGCCAAGCAUUACCUAAAGGCUAGAGGAGCAGUUUGUCAGCUCCGAUAAAGCUUUGGCGAGCACGCUGAUGAAGCGACUUUCGGUUAUCAAGUACAGUCGAGCCAAAGGUAUGCGCGAGCAUAUCAUGGAGAUGCGGAACAUAGUGGCUCAACUAAAGGUUUUAAAAGUUGAGAUCUCGGACACUUUUUUAGUCCAUUUAAUUCUAAACUCAUUACCGUUUGAGUUUUACCCUUUUAAGAUCUCUUAUAAUACACAUAAGAAUGAAUGGUCAAUAAAUAAAUUAUUGAUCAUGUGUGUUCAAGAAGAGGAAAGACUUAAGCAGGAGAAGCCAGAAAUUAUAACAGAAUCUGUGAAUUUGGCGACUCAGCGCAAAAAGGGAAAGAGCAAGGGUGCCUCUAAUUACAAGAAGUCAGCUCAGUUGCCAAUAAAAAAUUCUGGUAAGAAAAAUCAAUGCUAUUUCUGUAAAAAGAAAGGACACAUGAAAAAUAACUGCUUGAAGUAUAAAGCUUGGCUCGAGAAGAAAGGUAUUGAAACUAUCUGUAUUUGUUAUGAAUCUCAUUUAGUUAAUGUUCCUAAAAACACAUGGUGGAUUGACUCUGGAACUACUGUACAUAUCUCAAAUAUCAUAUAGGAUUUUCACAACCUAACGAUGUUGAAACCAAAUGAAAGGAUUUUAAUUAGCAGAGAAGAAAAUAAAUCUCAAGUUGAAGCCGUAGGAAAGUUUAUUUUAGAACUUAGUACUGAUUUUGUACUUGAACUUAAGGAUGCUUUUUAUGUUCCUAAAUUUUCUAAAAAUUUAGUUUCCGUUUCUAAAUUGAGAAAUAAAGGUUUCAAAUUUUUAUUUGAAAAUGAAUCUUUUACUAUGUUCUCCGAUAGUAUUAUUGUUGGCAAAGGUUGUUUGGUAGAUGAUUUGUACAAAUUUAAUUUGAGUCAAUCUUUUAAAAAUAAUUUUAAUGUUAAUCAUGACAUUGGUGUUAAAAGAAACAUUCUUAAAAAAAAUUUCUUCUAUUUAUGGCACAAGCGUUUAGCCCAUAUCUCUUUAGAGAGAAUAAAGAGAUUGAUAAAAGAAAGGAUCUUACAAAAUUUUGACUUUACCGAUUUUGGUACUUGUGUGAAAUACAUAAAGGGAAAGCAUACUAACACAAAUACAACUAAAGGUGCUAGAAGGAGUUCUGAAAUUUUUGAGAUCAUAUAUACAGAUAUCUUUGAACCUUUUCCUACUCCUUGUUUCAAUGGUUAGAGAUAUUUUAUCUCAUUUAUUGAUGAGCAUUCAAGAUAUAUGUAUCUCUAUCUCUUAUUUGAAAAUUUUGAGACUCUUGAUGCUUUUAAAGUUUAUUAGCUUGAGAUAGAGAAAUAAUUGGAUAGAAAAAUCAAGAUUGUAAGGUCCGACAGAAGGGGUGAGUAUUAUGAAAGACAUAUGGAUAAUGGUCAAAUGGCCAGUCCAUUUGCUCAAUUCCUCGAAGGUGAAGGUAUCAUUGCACAGUAUACGAUGCCUGACACGCCCUAACAAAAUGGCGUUGCCGAAAGCAGGAAUAGAACACUCAUGGACAUGAUAAGGUGCAUGAUUAGCAGCUCUUGUCUUCCAUCUUCUCUUUAGAGGGAAGCACUAAAGACAGCGGUGUAUGUUUUAAAUAAGAUUCCAUCGAAGGCUAUUUCCAAAACUCCUUUUGAGUUAUGGAAAGAGUGAAAACCUAGUUUAAAUCACCUGCAUGUAUGGAGAUGUCCAACUGAGGUGAGGGUUUAUAAUCCACACAUAAAAAAAUUGGACCCUCGAACAGUCAGUAGAUAUUUCAUUUGCUAUGCGGUAAACUCCAAAGGAUUCAAAAUCUAUUGUCCAAAUAACUCAUCUAAGAUAGUUGAGGCCAAAAUGCCAAAUUCUUGAGGAUUCUGAAGCUAAUGGGAGUGUUGUUCCUCAAAAGAUAGAUUUUUAGGAAAUAAGGGAUUCAACUCGUUAUCCAUCAACCGAUAAUAAUCUAGUUGCUCUUCCAGGAGGUCAAUUUGACCAUAAUGGAGAUCAACUAAUCUUGGAGCAUGAAAAUACUGAACCAGUUGAACCUCCCCAUGAAGAGCUGUCCUAAGAGAAACAGAUAAUUAUCGAGCCAGCUGCACAGAAUAAUAAAAAUCUGCAGGAUGAGGUUGGCUUAAGAAGAUCCUUAAGAUAAAGGAGAUCGGUAAUUCCUGAUGAUCAUGUAGUCUAUCUUCAGGAGUCUGACUUUGAUGUCGGACACCAUAAAGACCCAUGAACGUUUUCAGAGGCCAUGUAGGAAAAAAAAACCUCCCUAUGGUAUGUGCCAUGAAGGAAGAGAUGAAAUCUAUGGCGGAUAAUAAAGUUUGGGAUCUCAUUGAGUUACCACAAGGAGUCAAAGCCAUUGGCUGUAAAUGAGUCUUCAAGACCAAAAAGGACUUUUUAGGUAACAUAGAAUGAUAUAAAGCUAGACUUGUUGCCAAAGGUUUCACUCAAAAGGAAUGCAUUGAUUAUCAUGAAACCUUCUUUGCGGUGUCAAAGAAGGAUUCAUUAAGAAUUAUCAUGGUUUUGGUAGCUCAUUUUGAUUUGGAGUUACAUCAGAUGGAUGUGAAAACGGCAUUUCUAAAUGGAAAUAUAGAGGAGAUAGUCUAUAUGCAACAGCCCGAAGGUUUUAGCACAGAUGAAAAUAAUCACCUUGUUUGCAGACGAAAGAAAUCUAUAUACGGACUUAAACAGACUUCCCGUCAGUGGUAUAUCAAGUUCCAUAAUGUAAUUAUUACAUUCGGUUUCAUAGAAAAUGUUGUGGACCAAUACAUAUACCUUAAGGUUAAUUAGUGGGUAUAUUUUAUUAGUUCGGUAUGUGGAUGACAUUCUGCUUGCAAGUAGUUAUUUUAAUUUGCUUAAAGAGACUAAAGAUUUUCUUUUUAAUAAUUUUGAGAUAAAGGAUAUGGGUGAAGCUUCUUAUGUCAUUAGCAUAAAGAUCACAGAAAUAGAUCUCAAAGAAUUUUUGGUCUAUCUCAGAAAGUCUACAUCGAAAGAGUUCUAGAAAAAUUUAAUAUGGCAAAUUGUGCACCUACAGCUGUACCUAUUAUAAAAGGCGACAAAUUUAAUCAGAAACAGUGUCCUCAGAAUAAUUUAGAACGAGAGUAUAUAAAGGGUAUAUCCCAUGCUUCUGUAGUAGGGAGCUUGAUAUAUGCGCAGGUCUGUACCAGACCUGAUAUAGCUUAUAUAGUGGGAAUGUUGGGUAGACACCAAAGUAACCCUGGCCUUAAUUAUUGGAAAGUUGCAAAUAAGGUUAUGAGAUAUUUACAGGAACAAAGGAUUAUAUGCUCACCUACAGACAUUCUGAUCUUGAGGUGGUUAGAUAUUCGGACUCUGAUUUUGCUGGAUGCGUGGAUUCUAGAAAGUUCACAUCAGAAUAUAUUUUCUUAUUUGCUCAAGGUGCUAUAUCUUAGAGGAGCACUAAGCAAGAUACAGUUGCUACAUCCACUAUAGAGACAGAGUUCAUCGCUUGCUAUAAGGCAUCGUCACAGGCUUUAUGGUUGAGAAAUUUUAUCUCAGGUUUAAGAGUUGUUGACUCUAUUUCAAGGCAAAUUAAGAUUUAUUGUGACAACUCUACUAUAGUGUUCUUUGCCAAGAAUAGUUGAAUUACAGAUCGCAGUAAACAUAUUGAUAUAAAGUAUUUUGCUGUGAAAGAAUACGAUAAAAAGAAGGUGGAUAUCCAACACAUUGGGACCGAGAUGAUAAUUGCUGAUCCUAUAACUAAAGCAUUACCGGCAAACAAAUUCAAUGAUCAUAUUUAUCAUAUGGGUAUCUUGAGUCCAUUUGCAGUUUAAGUAUUUUUUUCUUGUAUAAAGAUUUUAAAGAUUAUUUUUAUUUGAAUAAGAACACAUUUUGAUUUUUGCACAUAUGCGCAUAAAGUUAUCUUUUGUACAUUAAAGUAUUAUUCUGCACUAAAGAGGGACUCUGAGUUGAACUUAUAUAAUAAGUUCAUACGGUUAUAACUCAUAAAGUUAUUUGAUUAAGGAGUACGUGCUUUGAUACAUAGAAGGAAGUGUUCAUUUUUUGGGGCAUAACCGCUAUGAUCAAAGUAUUAUGAUUUCUUGGUCGAGUGGGAGAUUUUGACUGUAUAAUUUAGUUGGUACCUAAUAAAGUUUUUAUAUCGCCUAUAUGGUAAUGAAUAUAUCACUAGGCCAAAUAGAAGAAUAUUGGAUGUGGCCCACGUGAUAUAUUCAAGGCGAUUUAUAAAGAUACAGUCAAUCUAUUUAAGUCGAUCUAUAAAGAUAUGAUAGAUCUUACGGUUAGGAUGUAUCUGAACACGUUCUUGAUGGACGGACGUGAUUUAACAUCCUUACAUUAAGUUAUAUAUAAAUAUGUAACAUACGGGAGUCCCGGUCUAACUAUAUUCCAAUUGUCUAUGACGGCUUCAUCUCCGGGGAUAAGGAAAUUAGACUUGAAACGUCCUAUUUUAUUUGCAGAUCGCGAACGAUGACGAACCACGAGCAAAAAUCGCCGCCUACAAAUCGGGUACAGAAAUCGAAAUCAUGGCAGAAGGUAUAAUCAUAGUUUUUUAUAAAGCUUCAACAUUUCACACAUUAGUUGCACACAAAGAGUGAGAUGGUGGCUUGUUGUGAACACUUCCACAACAUAAUAACUAGUUAUAUCAACCACUUAGUUUACCCAAUGCACAAUUAGGGUUCAUAAACAAGUUUUUUAAUCNAUAUAUAUAUAUAUAUAUAUAUAUAUAUAUAUAUAUAUAUAUAGCUACUAUUACAAACAUGAAGAUUGAUUAAAUAGAAAGUUUUUCAUGAGCAAUUUUAACACUCCCACUUACGUGCACGAUACAGAUUAGAUAAAUAGAAUAUAUAGUUAACACACCAAAUAAAAUAUGAAAAUUUAAUUCAUUAAAUAUGAGAUAUUAAGAAUAAUAUUAUUCUAUAACAAUUUAAGUAAAAACUUGUUAUUUCAGGGAUAGAGUUAAGUUCAGGGUUAAGGUGGGGUUAGAGUAAUUUUGUGUUUGGUUGAGAAUUGGGUUUAGCUCAGGUAUAGAUAAAAUAGUGUUUGGUUGGAGUAGGUGGGAUAAGAAAGAUAGUGAGUAAAAUAGUAUUUUGUUUGAUUGGAAUAAUGGGGUGGGGUGGGGUUAGCUAAUCCCAUCCCAAAUAGGCUAUCUCGGGAUAGCCCAUUUGGGGUGGGGUUAGCUAACCCCACCCGGGGUUAGCUAACCCCACCCCUUAAAUUGGGUGUUUGGAAAUAACUUCGGGGUUAAGGCGUUAUUCCACCCCUUAACCCCGAACCAAACGGGUUCUUAGAGACAAACAGUUCUUUCUAAUGAUUUUAAAAUAAAUUGUCUGAUAAUUUAAGCUUAUAUAAUUAUAUACCCAAAAAUUAAAGACUAAUCAAUCUGAUAACUAAAAAACUCUUCAAAAUAAUUUAAACAACUAUAAAACUUUGAUAAAUAAAUGUCACGCCCCGGAUUACACGUUCCCCGGGCACGCCGACAAAUCCGCCGUAUACAAAGAAAUUUUUCCUGUAUACGAAGCGACAGCUGUACCUGUAAAUCAAACACUACUACGAACAGUAGUAGAGAGCUGCUAGAGAAAACAGAAGCUAAAUAAAACAGAGUUUCAUAUACAUAGUUCAGAUCCAAAAUACAGAGCUACUCGCACUGGCGAGUUAAGUCAACUAUGUACAUAAACUCGAAACAAAACAUCUACCUGCAGUAGGGCACCUCUAGCUCAGCACGUCGGGUAGGGCUCUAACUCGCGACGCCCUUGCCUCGAUUCUGAUCCACGGACGGUGCAGCAGCCGGAACCUGUGGCUCUGCAAAAACAUAGGUAACAACUGGGCGUGAGAACUACUGUAAAAACAAGUAGUCCUCAGUGGGUACCGCCCAAAACAACAUCGGUCACCCACUAAGUCUACAGAAGGGAGCAAGGAUAGAAGUAAAGCAGGAAGCAUACUCUACCGCUAUCAUCCACUACACUAUCAUGCUCUACACUAACCAACUGUAGGAAAUGUCAAGUCUGACCCAAUCCAAAUCGGGACUGUAAGCAUACCCGUCCCCGGGACUGUGAAUACACCCGUUCCUGCCCCGUUGCGACUAUCGGGCUUUAUCCACUCUAACUGGUCCGUGGAGAGCAAGUCCAACUAGCAUGAGCGACACCAACGCAAAAGCACAAGCCUGACUCCGGAGUGGUACUCGUGGGCGCUACCCAACCGAGUAUGCAGCGUAUCUCUGUCGAGCUCAAUCAGGCUCCAACUAGCCAAAGUCAAGUAAUCGACUCAAACUGGUCUAACAACCAACAGGUAACCUGCCCUCGGCACAAUCUGACGCCAAAAAGGCGGUACGGGUCCACCGUCAAUUCUGACGGCACCCAACAGUCCGAAACGACCUGAACGACCCUGUAAAAAUCCACUCGGCGAACCAGCACGAGUGUAAAUACAUUCUAAACUACCUGGAGUACUCGUCUUGAAGAAACUGCGACAGUACAAUUUUCUAACGGCUCCUAGAGCUAAAUCAGGUAGUUAAAACUGGUGACAGGUCCAAAUCGCAGGUUUUCUCCUAAUUCAAUUUCCAAGUCCAACAUGUAUAAUCUACUUAAUUUAUAAAACAUGCUCCAAAAUUCAGAUUCCACAAUCUACAUAUAGUCCAUGAAUUUGAGCUAACACAAUUUACCGAAAUCAAGAUCUAUACAUGUCGACCAAUAAGAACUUAGGAGUAAAGCCGAUGUAACCCACCUCGCACGCUAAUCCCUGGCAGCACAGAACCCCCUCGACUGCGACACCACCUGCUGGAUCGACCAAAAACGCCCGAGUCUCGAAAUCGAGCUAACUCCAAACUAAAACACCAAAAUUUCUCAAUUCAGUCCAAAAUCCACAGCAGCAGAGAAGAGAAGGAUUUCGACCAAGCUAACCUUCACCAAAAUUCGCAAGUAAAGGCUUCGUGGAUUCCUCUCGAAGUCCCGAAUCCAACGAACCAAGUCUCGUUGAAAUCCGAUGCUCCUACGUCGCGUACGAGCUGAAAUACUAACAGUCGACGGUGGAUUUCAGCAAACAACACUUUUCCGAGUUGAAGUAGCAAACACCUGCCCAAAAAUUCAGGGAAAUGCUGAAUUACUCACCUCGACAACACCAGGCACCGCUGCGACAGUAAAAACGGCGAAAAACCUCCGCUCGCCCAGCCUCCUCGCGCUACCCCGGCGUCAAACGCGAGCUCAAACGGUUCCGCGGCGCGAUGUCGGCGACGGAUUCUCCAACCAAGCUCUCCACUGUAACCGAGUCUAGAGAGAGAGAGGAGAAGAGAACGCAACAAGAACUCUCUCUCUCUCAGCACCAAACUAUAUAGAGAGGGAAUGGGUUGGUGAUACAAACGAGGGAGAGAAAAGACCCAAUUACCCCCUCACCUACUCAAGUGUACCGGUACACGGGCCUCUGUACCGGUACACAUGCCAACCCGAGAGCAGUCUGCGCGAUGGUUGUAC
RNAcentral lists this long non-coding RNA (9296 nucleotides) under Ananas comosus (pineapple). Its description in RNAcentral is "long non-coding RNA (ACOM_LNC040003)". The record is from RNAcentral. Lineage: Eukaryota; Viridiplantae; Streptophyta; Magnoliopsida; Poales; Bromeliaceae.